AUGGGAAGGAGAAGGUAGCAAAGGAGGUCAUUGAGGAAAUAGAUGAAGAAAAGAAGUUAGUCAAAUUCAAAGUGAUUGGAGGAGAUGUAUUGGAAGCUUACAAAUCAUUUUACCUUACUGUCCAUGUUGAAACAAAGGGUGAAGACAAUUUGGUUACUUGGAUUUUGGAAUAUGAGAAGUUGAAUCCUGAUAUACCAGAUCCACACACAUUAAUGGAUUUCUGUCUCAAUGUUACAAAGGAUAUUGAGAAACAUCACCUAACAGGAAAGUUAGUUUCUGAGAUAAAUAUUAAGUCUGAUGGGGAUGUGUUUCAUGAGAUUUUUAGGUACAGACCACACCAUAUCUCAAGUAUGUCUCCUGAUAAGAUACAAAAUGUGGACAUUCAUGAAGGUGAAUGGGGUACUGUUGGCUCUGUUAUCUUUUGGAACUUCACCCAUGGUAAGCCUACAUAUAUCGUCCUACUUUUCUUUUUAUUGACUCAAUUAAUUAGUCUAGAAUUGUAAUGCAUAUGACCCAUCAAAAGAAAAGCGUUAAGCCUUUUCUUUAUUACUUCUUUCAAGCUUAGACGUGACGUUUAAGAAGAAAAGAAGUUUGUAUUAGAAAUUUGUGAUUUACAACAAGUUUUAAAUAUUUCUGUGACUAUAUUAAUGAUUCCAAUAGUUGAAGCAAAUGUUUUUGUCUAAAUUAAACAAUGUGUCAUAAUCCAAUUUUGGUGAAAGCUUUUAGUCUACCUUAUUAAACUAAAAUUACUGUAGUAACUAAAUGCAAAACUCAACAUAAAUAAUAAACAAAUAAAAAGUAACUUUGAGUUAGUUAGAUUAGGAGUUCGGACCUAGGUCAACGAAUUUUAAUCCAUUUAAAUUCAACACAAGCUCUCCAUUUAAGAAAAGGAACUUGUAAUAUUAAGCUAAUUAAGUUGCUCGGACUUUUCAAAAAUGUUGUUUGUAAUACUUUUGAAGAAUUCGACACAUGCACACACAUCUGAUGACAGUUCUGGAGAGUCCAAGCGUUAUUUACUUUGUUUGUUGUUGCAGAUGGGAAAGAGAAAGUUUCAAAGGAGAUAAUUGAAGAAAUAGAUGAAGAAAAGAAGCUGGUUAAAUUCAAGGUGAUUGGCGGAGAUAUGUUGGAAGCGUACAACUCAUUUUACCUCACUGUUCAUGUUGAAACAAAGGGUGAAGACGACCACUUAGUUACUUGGAUUUUGGAAUAUGAAAAAAAGCAUGCAAAUGUGCCAGAUCCACACACUUUAAUGGAUUUCUGCCUCAAUGUCACCAAAGACAUUGAGACUCACCAUCUCAAGUGAUACAUAACAUAACAUAUGUGCCUUAGCUUGGACCCUUCGAAACAUAUGUUGAUGAGUGUGU
Molecule: long non-coding RNA, 1364 nt
Filed under: Capsicum annuum
Lineage: Eukaryota; Viridiplantae; Streptophyta; Magnoliopsida; Solanales; Solanaceae
Description: long non-coding RNA (CANN_LNC019980)
Source: RNAcentral